Pelobates cultripes (western spadefoot toad) is the source of this 269-nucleotide non-coding RNA. The record is from the annotation of a GenBank genome assembly. NCBI's taxonomy places the organism in Eukaryota, Metazoa, Chordata, Amphibia, Anura, Pelobatidae.
CCAAGAUACGCCAGAAAGUAUAGUUUGACAACACUGUGCCAUGACAUAGUGACUUUAGUACAGAGCUCUGUGCCGUGAGAUGGUGACUUUAAUACACAGCUCUGGGCCGUGACAUGGUGACUUUAAUACACAGCUCUGGGCCGUGACAUGGUGACCUUAGUACAGAGCUCUGUGCCAUGACAUAGUGACGUUAGUAGACAGCUCUGUGCCGUGACAUGGUGACUUUAAUACACAGCUCUGGGCCAUGACAUGGUGACCUUAGUACAGAG